This 2034-nucleotide ribosomal RNA is filed under the name Sphaeractinomyxon sp. type 6 LFR-2016. RNAcentral describes it as "SSU rRNA". It matches the Rfam family "Eukaryotic small subunit ribosomal RNA". Lineage: Eukaryota; Metazoa; Cnidaria; Myxozoa. The record is from RNAcentral.
CCAGUGCGCAUACGCUCUUUUUAAAGAUUAAGCCAUGCACGUGAAAGUUCAUACAUGUAAAAUGUGAGACUGCGGACGGCUCAGUAAAUCAGUUAUAAUCUGCUCGAUUGUAAAGGUUAGUGGAUAACCGUGGGAAAUCUAGAGCUAAUACAUGCAAUAUAGGGUGCGAGUAAUCGUGCUCGGUGGCAUUUAUUAGAAAGUGACCAGCCGUGGAUGAGAAUCUACGUGGUGAAUCUAGAUAACUGUGCAGAUCGUACGGCCUUGAGCUGACGACAUUUCGAUUGAAUUACUGCCCUAUCAACUUUUGUCGGUAGUGUAGUGGACUACCGAGGUUUUUACGGGUGACGGGGGAUCAGGGUUCGAUUCCGGAGAGGGAGCCUGAGAAACGGCUACCACAUCCAAGGAAGGCAGCAGGCGCGCAAAUUACCCAAUCCAGACAAUGGGAGGUGGUGACGAAAAGUACCGGAUGACGAUCUAUGAUUGUCAAUCUGGAAUGGAAUCAAUUUAAGAAAUUGAUUGAGAAACGACUGGAGGGCAAGUCUGGUGCCAGCAGCCGCGGUAAUUCCAGCUCCAGUAGCGUAUCUCAAAGUUGCUGCGCUUAAAACGCUCGUAGUUGGAUCACAAACUGUUGGGGGGUAGGAAAUGAGAUCUGUGUCAAAGAUGGAAAAUGUAGCGUGUGUCAUCAUGCGUUAUGUGAUUCAUAUGGCAUAGUCUCAGAUCUAUAUUGCCAACCAAUAGUAAUUACGCGUGAGGAUAGACAUUAGCCUUGAGUGAGCAGAUGUCUGUGUCUCGCGGAGUGUGCCUUGAGUAAAUCAGAGUGCUUAAAGCAGGCUUGACGCUUGAAUGUUAUAGCAUGGAACGAACAAUCGUGUAUAGUGUACGCUGACUAUGGUUUGUCAGUUCGCUGACAUUCAGCAGUGUACGACACCGACCACCAGUUACGGAUGUUGGUUCCGUAUUGGGGUAACGAUUAAGAGGAGCGGUUGGGGGCAUUGGUAUUUGGCAGCGAGAGGUGAAAUUCUUGGACCUGCCAAGGACUAACAAAUGCGAAGGCAUCUGCCCAGACCGUAUCCAUUAAUCAAGAACGAUAGUGAAAGGUUCGAAGACGAUCAGAUACCGUCCUAGUUUUCACUGUAAACUAUGCCGACUCGGGGUCAGUUUGGAGCUAAUAUCCACGCUCGAGGUUGGUCCCCCUGGGAAACCUAAAGUUUUUCGGUUGCGGGGGGAGUAUGGUCGCAAGGCUGAAACUUAAAGGAAUUGACGGAAGGGCACCACCAGGGGUGGAGCCUGCGGCUUAAUUUGACUCAACACGGGAAAACUUACCUGGUCCGAACAUCUGAAGGAUGCACAGACUGAUAGAUCUUUGUUGAUGAGGUGAAAAGUGGUGCAUGGCCGUUCUUAGUUCGUGGAGUGAUCUGUCAGGCCUAUCCCGGUAACGAACGAGACUACGGUCUCCACUUGACGCACCGGAGAAGGCUGUGGUUGCAAUUUAUCAGCAAUGGUAAAGUGCAAAUCGUGGUUGUAGGCAACAUUGGUGAGCCAUGUAAAGUCCGGUUUCGGCCGGGGUGAAUGUGGUGAGCCAGUGUACCCUCCGGUAAGCAAUGCUUUAGCUUAUUAAGUUAAAUGUAUUGUAUCGUGGAGAGACAGCGGAAUAUAUUCAAAAUCCGAGGAAGUGUAGCUAUAACAGGUCCGUGAUGCCCUUAGAUGUUCAGGGCUGCACGCGCGCUACAAUGAUAGCAACAACGAGUUCCUAGAUCGAAAGAUCCGGGCAAUCUUGCAAUUGCUAUCGUGAUGGGGAUCGAUGUUUGUAAAUACGUCGUGAAAGAGGAAUCCCUAGUACGUGCGAUUCAUGCAGAUCGCGCGGAUUGCGUCCCUGCCCUUUGUACACACCGCCCGUCGCUACUACCGAGUGAAUCGUGUCAUGAUGCCUUGGGAGCGGACGUCGCCUGGGCCUUGAGCUCGGAGUGAUGCUGCAAUCAGCGUAAAAUGGUGCAAUUUCGAGGAAGUAAAAGUCAUAACAAGGUUUCCGUAGAU